Molecule: unclassified non-coding RNA, 295 nt
Filed under: uncultured fungus
Lineage: Eukaryota; Fungi
Description: sequence contains ITS1, 5.8S rRNA gene
Rfam family: 5.8S ribosomal RNA (bases 247-295)
Source: RNAcentral
UCUUCGUAGGUGAACCUGCGGAGGGAUCAUUGAUGAAUUUAAACAUGGACUGUUUGCCUCGGCAAGCUGAUCCUAUUCAUCCCACAUACACCUGUGCACCCUUUUUUUCCCUUUUGGUGAAUGCCCUGAGGAAAGGUCAGUGUUGCACUAACAGAUUACUCUUGGCGGACGCUGGAAGGCGAAACCCUAGUGAAUGUAAACAGUCAUGUGUUAUUACAAAUUCCUUCAUAGGAAAGAUGUCUUAACAACUAUUAACGGUGGACCUCUUGGCUCUCGCAUCGAUGAAGAACGCAGC